Molecule: ribosomal RNA, 344 nt
Filed under: uncultured bacterium
Lineage: Bacteria
Description: bacterial SSU rRNA
Rfam family: Bacterial small subunit ribosomal RNA
Source: RNAcentral
GACGAACGCUGGCGGCGUGCUUAACACAUGCAAGUCGAGCGAGAAAAAGUCUUCGGACUUUUUCUAGCGGCGGACGGGUGAGUAACACGUGGGCAACCUGCCUGGUAGAGGGGGAUAGCCUUCCGAAAGGAAGAUUAAUACCGCAUAACAUGAUUUCAGGGCAUCCUGAAACCAUCAAAGGAGCAAUCCGCUAUCAGAUGGGCCCGCGUCCCAUUAGCUAGUUGGUGAGGUAACGGCUCACCAAGGCGACGAUGCGUAGCUGUGCUGAGAGGCAAAACAGCCACACUGGGACUGAGACACGGCCCAGACUCCUACGGGAGCAGCAGUAGGGAAUUUUCGGCAAA